This is a long non-coding RNA of Ziziphus jujuba (common jujube), 2075 nucleotides long. RefSeq lists it as uncharacterized. The transcript has 2 exons. The record is from RefSeq and is a predicted model, not a curated record. Lineage: Eukaryota; Viridiplantae; Streptophyta; Magnoliopsida; Rosales; Rhamnaceae.
ACCCACCACCCAAACAGUCCUGCUUUUUUAUUUUCUUUAUUUUUUUUUGGGUUUUUUGUUUAAUUUAUUGGGAGUAUUGUAGAGCUUUUACAGUGCCCCGCGACCAAAACAAGUUUCUAGCCGACCUGGACAGUUUUCUUGUAUACUUGUGUUCCGAUUCCGAAAGCUUGCAAGUCGUCCCAAGAAGUAGGGCACCGGGGGAAAAAGGUAAUGCUCAUUUAUAGUUGUGUGUAUCUGUUCUACUGAUGGGUUCUUAUAUCUUUAUGCAUAUGGUAGUGUAAUUUAUUUGAUUUUGCUUCUUGACUAGUUGUGUGCUUAUUCUUUAAUUUGCUUGUGUGGUUUCCAUCUCAGUUGAUUGGUAGAUCAAACUCAAACAUUCUAAAGUUUUAAUCUUUGAGGUUCAUAAAAAUUUGCUACAGUUCCUUGGAUCAUUAUGUUGUAUGUGUCAAAAUUUGGCAAUGUGAUCUCCAUGUGUGGAAACUAGUGCUCUCUACAUAUGUGAAUUUUAGUUAGAGUAAUGGAGAUUUUACGCAGUAUUUAUUUUCUUUCUUAACUAAAAGAAAGAUUUUGUACAUGAAUCGGCUAGAAAAUCAGGCAGAUGCUGAGGAAGAAGAUUGGAUGGCAAAAUGGGAUCGAAGAAGAAGAAUGGCUGUCAUCCAAGUUCUUUAUCAUUUUGCAUAUGCCUUAUACUUGCAUCAGGCAUACUAUAGAUACCAUAAUCAGUCUGCAAAAUCUUUGAAAGGAAAGAAACGCAAUGCUCCAAUUGAUUAGUUAUGUAAGAGAGAGUUUGAGAACAUAACUGAAGACAUUAAUAGAGCAUGCGUUUAUUCAGAGGAAGAAGUUUUUGCAGAAUUGGUGAAUCUAGGUGUUGAUAAGAAAUUACACCAUAGAGCUUUUACCUUUCUCAUUCAAAAUAAUUUGAGGGUGAGGGCGUUCUUUGGUUGCCCAAUUGAGGAGCGCAAAAAUUUUCUGGUGCAACCAGUGUAUGGUUCAGACAAUCCUCAAUAUGAUGUAUAUUGGUAGGGCAUUAUGGGGCCUCUUUUUGUAGUAUUUGGAUGUUUCUUUGCCAUACACAUUUUGUACUUUGUUUUCCUUUUUCUUUUACUUUUUGCUGAGGGUUUGGGGGCAUGUAGGACUUCAACUGGAAUUCUAAAGGAACACUUAGUUUUAUUUGAUUUUAACAAUUAAAGUUACCGUUCUAUUUAUAGAUACAUAAUUGAUGGUUUCGUUCUCGUGUGUUAUUUUGUGUGUUUCUUUCUUUCUGAACUAUGAGCAAUGAGAAUUUUAUGACUCAGGAACUCACUGCAAAGGUCAUAGGAAUGCAAUUCAAAUGCUUGACACCCAUUUCACUUUUCUGGAAUUUCAAGACGCCCAAUGAAGUGAUCAGUUAGCCACUUAUUUAUAAUGAUCAAAAUUAAUGGAGACACCAUGUAAAAUCAGCUCCAUUGUAUGUUCAGCUAAAGAGUAUGUGGGUUCUCCACAAUAGGGGCUACAGAUAUGGGUUGCUUUCUUGCUCGCUUUUGGGAUGCAAGUUUCUUCUUCAUCAUCAUCUAAAUCUAUUUUACAGUUUGCAGGGGAAAAGAAAAAAACUCUCAUUAUUUGACUAAACUCUCACUUCAAAGACACUGGAGAUUGGUAUGAACACGAAGCUAUUCCAAAAAAUGAUUACCAAGAGGUACGUAUUUAGAUGGUUGAAUAUGCAAGUCCUUUCUGUGCUGAUGUUGCUCAUAUUACAAGAAAUGAGUGUAUUCAUUGAAAGCUCAAAUCCAUGGACCCUCCAUUUAAUAAUAUCAGUACAAUCAGACUGCAAAUAGCCAAAAACCAUAAUAUGGACAUGGCGGGUACGUUAUGUUGCCGGUAGUGUGCGAUUUUGUCCCCAGACAAGUGGCAUGUGAUAUAUAUAUAUAUAUAUAUAUAUAACCUCCCCUUCGUCGGAAUCCAUAGUGGUUAGAAUUUAACACCAGAACCAGACUAUUUUCACGUGUACUUUUAUUUUAUUUUAUUUCUCAUUGGCCGGAGCAAUUCCUUUUUAUGAAUUCUUAUUUUAUAUUUUAUUUGUUCCUUUUCUCAGGCUA